ACUGUUGUCCAUAGUUAGUUACUC
RNAcentral lists this non-coding RNA (24 nucleotides) under Arabidopsis thaliana (thale cress). Lineage: Eukaryota; Viridiplantae; Streptophyta; Magnoliopsida; Brassicales; Brassicaceae. The record is from RNAcentral.